Molecule: ribosomal RNA, 662 nt
Filed under: uncultured bacterium
Lineage: Bacteria
Description: bacterial SSU rRNA
Rfam family: Bacterial small subunit ribosomal RNA
Source: RNAcentral
AGUGGCGGACGGGUGAGUAACGCGUGAGAAUCUACCUUCAGGACGGGGACAACAGCUGGAAACGGCUGCUAAUACCCGAUAUGCCGAAAGGUGAAAAGUUUUUUCGUCUGGAGAGGAGCUCGCGUCCGAUUAGCUAGUUGGUGAGGUAAAAGCUUACCAAGGCGACGAUCGGUAGCUGGUCUGAGAGGAUGAGCAGCCACGCUGGAACUGAGACACGGUCCAGACUCCUACGGGAGGCAGCAGUGGGGAAUUUUCCGCAAUGGGCGAAAGCCUGACGGAGCAACGCCGCGUGGGGGAAGAAGGUUUUUGGAUUGUAAACCCCUUUUCUCAAGGAAGAACAAAAUGACGGUACUUGAGGAAUCAGCCUCGGCUAACUCCGUGCCAGCAGCCGCGGUAAUACGGAGGAGGCAAGCGUUAUCCGGAAUUAUUGGGCGUAAAGCGUUCGUAGGCGGCUGUUCAAGUCUGCUGUCAAAGACCGAGGCUCAACCUCGGGUAGGCAGUGGAAACUGGAUAGCUAGAGGUCGGUAGGGGCAGAGGGAAUUCCCAGUGUAGCGGUGAAAUGCGUAGAUAUUGGGAAGAACACCGGUGGCGAAAGCGCUCUGCUGGGCCGAACCUGACGCUGAGGGACGAAAGCUAGGGGAGCGAAUGGGAUUAGAUACCCC